GAUGAACGCUGGCGGCGUGCUUAAUACAUGCAAGUCGAGCGAACAGACGCUGCGCUUGUUCCUUUCUCGAUAGCGGAAGAGGGGUGAGUCACACGAGUAUAAUCUCCCUAUCAGACGGGGAAAUUUACGGGACUCCGGCGAAAAUACCAGAUGAUAUACUGCACCGCAUGGUGCAAUAGUAAAAGACGGUUUUGCUGUCUCUUAUAGAUGGUUACCCGCCGCAUGAGCUAGUUGGUAAGGUACCAGCUUAUCAAGGGAACGAUGCGUAGCCGACCUGAGAGGGUGAUCGGCCACACUGGAACUGAGACACGGUCCAGACGCCUACGGGAGGCAGCAGUAGGGAAUCUUCCGCAAUGGGCGGAAGCCUUACGGAGCAGCGCCGCGUGAGUGAUGAAGGUCUUCGGAUCGUAAAACUCUGUUAUUAGGGAAGAACAAAUGUGUAAGUAACUAUGCACGUCUUGACGGUACCUAAUCAGAAAGCCACGGCUAACUACGUG
RNAcentral lists this ribosomal RNA (497 nucleotides) under uncultured bacterium. RNAcentral describes it as "partial 16S ribosomal RNA". It matches the Rfam family "Bacterial small subunit ribosomal RNA", at positions 28 to 507 of the family's 1533-position model. The record is from RNAcentral.